This 481-nucleotide ribosomal RNA is filed under the name Salmonella enterica subsp. enterica serovar Muenchen. RNAcentral's name for it is "partial 23S ribosomal RNA". It matches the Rfam family "Bacterial large subunit ribosomal RNA", at positions 161 to 681 of the family's 2925-position model. RNAcentral also lists the same sequence under 1 other name. Lineage: Bacteria; Pseudomonadati; Pseudomonadota; Gammaproteobacteria; Enterobacterales; Enterobacteriaceae. The record is from RNAcentral.
AAUCCAUAGGUUAAUGAGGCGAACCGGGGGAACUGAAACAUCUAAGUACCCCGAGGAAAAGAAAUCAACCGAGAUUCCCCCAGUAGCGGCGAGCGAACGGGGAGGAGCCCAGAGCCUGAAUCAGCAUGUGUGUUAGUGGAAGCGUCUGGAAAGGCGCGCGAUACAGGGUGACAGCCCCGUACACAAAAGCGCAUGUGCUGUGAGCUCGAUGAGUAGGGCGGGACACGUGGUAUCCUGUCUGAAUAUGGGGGGACCAUCCUCCAAGGCUAAAUACUCCUGACUGACCGAUAGUGAACCAGUACCGUGAGGGAAAGGCGAAAAGAACCCCGGCGAGGGGAGUGAAAAAGAACCUGAAACCGUGUACGUACAAGCAGUGGGAGCACAGGUUUACCUGUGUGACUGCGUACCUUUUGUAUAAUGGGUCAGCGACUUAUAUUCUGUAGCAAGGUUAACCGUAUAGGGGAGCCGUAGGGAAACCGAG